UACGUAGGGGGCUAGCGUUGUCCGGAAUCAUUGGGCGUAAAGCGCGUGUAGGCGGCUUGGCAAGUUGAAUGUGAAAGCCCACGGCUCAACCGUGGAAGCGCAUCCAAAACUGCUUCGCUGGAGUCUCGGAGAGGAAGGUGGAAUGCUUGGUGUAGAGGUGAAAUUCGUAGAUAUCAAGCAGAACACCUGCGGCGAAGGCGGCCUUCUGGACGAUGACUGACGCUGAGACGCGAAAGCGUGGGGGGCAAACAGG
Molecule: ribosomal RNA, 253 nt
Filed under: uncultured bacterium
Lineage: Bacteria
Description: partial 16S ribosomal RNA
Rfam family: Bacterial small subunit ribosomal RNA
Source: RNAcentral